AGAGUUUGAUCCUGGCUCAGGACGAACGCUGGCGGCGUGCCUAAUACAUGCAAGUAGAACGCUGAAGAGAGGAGCUUGCUCUUCUUGGAUGAGUUGCGAACGGGUGAGUAACGCGUAGGUAACCUGCCUUGUAGCGGGGGAUAACUAUUGGAAACGAUAGCUAAUACCGCAUAACAAUGGAUGACACAUGUCAUUUAUUUGAAAGGGGCAAUUGCUCCACUACAAGAUGGACCUGCGUUGUAUUAGCUAGUAGGUGAGGUAAUGGCUCACCUAGGCGACGAUACAUAGCCGACCUGAGAGGGUGAUCGGCCACACUGGGACUGAGACACGGCCCAGACUCCUACGGGAGGCAGCAGUAGGGAAUCUUCGGCAAUGGGGGCAACCCUGACCGAGCAACGCCGCGUGAGUGAAGAAGGUUUUCGGAUCGUAAAGCUCUGUUGUAAGUCAAGAACGGGUGUGAGAGUGGAAAGUUCACACUGUGACGGUAGCUUACCAGAAAGGGACGGCUAACUACGUGCCAGCAGCCGCGGUAAUACGUAGGUCCCGAGCGUUGUCCGGAUUUAUUGGGCGUAAAGCGAGCGCAGGCGGUUUGAUAAGUCUGAAGUUAAAGGCUGUGGCUCAACCAUAGUUCGCUUUGGAAACUGUCAAACUUGAGUGCAGAAGGGGAGAGUGGAAUUCCAUGUGUAGCGGUGAAAUGCGUAGAUAUAUGGAGGAACACCGGUGGCGAAAGCGGCUCUCUGGUCUGUAACUGACGCUGAGGCUCGAAAGCGUGGGGAGCGAACAGGAUUAGAUACCCUGGUAGUCCACGCCGUAAACGAUGAGUGCUAGGUGUUGGAUCCUUUCCGGGAUUCAGUGCCGAAGCUAACGCAUUAAGCACUCCGCCUGGGGAGUACGACCGCAAGGUUGAAACUCAAAGGAAUUGACGGGGGCCCGCACAAGCGGUGGAGCAUGUGGUUUAAUUCGAAGCAACGCGAAGAACCUUACCAGGUCUUGACAUCCCGAUGCUAUUUCUAGAGAUAGAAAGUUACUUCGGUACAUCGGUGACAGGUGGUGCAUGGUUGUCGUCAGCUCGUGUCGUGAGAUGUUGGGUUAAGUCCCGCAACGAGCGCAACCCCUAUUGUUAGUUGCCAUCAUUCAGUUGGGCACUCUAGCGAGACUGCCGGUAAUAAACCGGAGGAAGGUGGGGAUGACGUCAAAUCAUCAUGCCCCUUAUGACCUGGGCUACACACGUGCUACAAUGG
RNAcentral lists this ribosomal RNA (1241 nucleotides) under gut metagenome. Its description in RNAcentral is "bacterial SSU rRNA". It matches the Rfam family "Bacterial small subunit ribosomal RNA", at positions 8 to 1233 of the family's 1533-position model. The record is from RNAcentral.